UCCCCUCUCCUCAUUCCUUACCUUCUCAAGGGUACAAAUGACCUAAUUGCUCAAAAAAUACCAAUAUUUUUUCUGUUCUCAUCUUCUUUGAUAUUACCAUAAUAGAAGACAGAAAUUACCAGAACUUCUUUCUUAAAACUAUUCUUUUCUUGGCUGAGACUCACAAAUUCUCUAUCCUUCAAGUUUUUCUUUAAAAUUUUCUUUGUGCUAUUUUCUUUCUCUCCCAGCUCUUUAAGCACCAGGUUUUCCAAGGGUCCUGCAUGCUUUUUCUGGUUCAUUCAUCCAUCCCUGUGUCCUCGUUAAAUAGGUAAAUGUGUUCCAUGGUGGAUUGCUGUAUCUAUCAACUCUUCACCUAGGUAUUAAGCCCCACAAGCAUUAGCUAUUUGUUGCUCAAUUGUGUAUCUUCUUUAGAGAAUUGUCUACUUAUGUCCUUAGCCCACUUUUUGUCUGGCUAUUAUGUUUCCAACAAAUAUAAAAGUAAUGAAACUGAAGAAAGAGGUUUGACAAUAGAAGAGAUCAAAUGUUGAGUAAAUCCAUAUGA
RNAcentral lists this long non-coding RNA (541 nucleotides) under Pan troglodytes (chimpanzee). Its description in RNAcentral is "long non-coding RNA NONPTRT013481". The record is from RNAcentral. Lineage: Eukaryota; Metazoa; Chordata; Mammalia; Primates; Hominidae.